UCUCUCGUAGCUUAGUUGGUUAGAGCAUUGGUGUGUAAAGCCAAAGGUCCCGGGUUCGAUUCCCGGCGGGGGUA
RNAcentral lists this transfer RNA (74 nucleotides) under Agrilus planipennis (emerald ash borer). RNAcentral's name for it is "tRNA-Tyr". It matches the Rfam family "tRNA". Rfam says of the family: Transfer RNA (tRNA) molecules are approximately 80 nucleotides in length. Their secondary structure includes four short double-helical elements and three loops (D, anti-codon, and T loops). The record is from Rfam by way of RNAcentral. Lineage: Eukaryota; Metazoa; Arthropoda; Insecta; Coleoptera; Buprestidae.